GACGAACGCUGGCGGCGGGCCUAACACAUGCAAGUCGAACGCGCUCGGACCUUCGGGUCCACAUGAGUGAGUGGCGAACGGGUGAGUAACACGUGAGGAACCUGCCCCGGAGUACCGGGAUAACCACGGGAAACCGUGGCUAAUACCGUAUGCCCUCUUCUGGUCGCAUGGCCGGUCGAGGAAAGCGCACGCGCUCCGGGAGGGCCUCGCGGCCUAUCAGCUUGUUGGUGAGGUAACGGCUCACCAAGGCAUCGACGGGUAGCUGGUCUGAGAGGAUGAUCAGCCACACUGGAACUGAGACACGGUCCAGACUCCUACGGGAGGCAGCAGUGGGGAAUAUUGCACAAUGGGCGCAAGCCUGAUGCAGCGAUGCCGCGUGCGGGAAGAAGGCCCUAGGGUUGUAAACCGCUUUCAGCAGGGAAGAAAAUGACGGUACCUGUAGAAGAAGGUGCGGCCAACUACGUG
Molecule: ribosomal RNA, 465 nt
Filed under: uncultured bacterium
Lineage: Bacteria
Description: bacterial SSU rRNA
Rfam family: Bacterial small subunit ribosomal RNA
Source: RNAcentral